UACAGGCUUAACACAUGCAAGUCGAGGGGCAGCAUGGUCUUAGCUUGCUAAGGCCGAUGGCGACCGGCGCACGGGUGAGUAACACGUAUCCAACCUGCCGUCUACUCUUGGACAGCCUUCUGAAAGGAAGAUUAAUACAAGAUGGCAUCAUGAGUCCGCAUGUUCACAUGAUUAAAGGUAUUCCGGUAGACGAUGGGGAUGCGUUCCAUUAGAUAGUAGGCGGGGUAACGGCCCACCUAGUCUUCGAUGGAUAGGGGUUCUGAGAGGAAGGUCCCCCACAUUGGAACUGAGACACGGUCCAAACUCCUACGGGAGGCAGCAGUGAGGAAUAUUGGUCAAUGGGCGAGAGCCUGAACCAGCCAAGUAGCGUGAAGGAUGACUGCCCUAUGGGUUGUAAACUUCUUUUAUAAAGGAAUAAAGUCGGGUAUGGAUACCCGUUUGCAUGUACUUUAUGAAUAAGGAUCGGCUAACUCCGUGCCAGCAGCCGCGGUAAUACGGAGGAUCCGAGCGUUAUCCGGAUUUAUUGGGUUUAAAGGGAGCGUAGAUGGAUGUUUAAGUCAGUUGUGAAAGUUUGCGGCUCAACCGUAAAAUUGCAGUUGAUACUGGAUAUCUUGAGUGCAGUUGAGGCAGGCGGAAUUCGUGGUGUAGCGGUGAAAUGCUUAGAUAUCACGAAGAACUCCGAUUGCGAAGGCAGCCUGCUAAGCUGCAACUGACAUUGAGGCUCGAAAGUGUGGGUAUCAAACAGGAUUAGAUACCCUGGUAGUCCACACGGUAAACGAUGAAUACUCGCUGUUUGCGAUAUACUGCAAGCGGCCAAGCGAAAGCGUUAAGUAUUCCACCUGGGGAGUACGCCGGCAACGGUGAAACUCAAAGGAAUUGACGGGGGCCCGCACAAGCGGAGGAACAUGUGGUUUAAUUCGAUGAUACGCGAGGAACCUUACCCGGGCUUAAAUUGCAGAUGAAUUACGGUGAAAGCCGUAAGCCGCAAGGCAUCUGUGAAGGUGCUGCAUGGUUGUCGUCAGCUCGUGCCGUGAGGUGUCGGCUUAAGUGCCAUAACGAGCGCAACCCUUGUUGUCAGUUACUAACAGGUUCCGCUGAGGACUCUGACAAGACUGCCAUCGUAAGAUGUGAGGAAGGUGGGGAUGACGUCAAAUCAGCACGGCCCUUACGUCCGGGGCUACACACGUGUUACAAUGGGGGGUACAGAGGGUCGCUACCACGCGAGUGGAUGCCAACCCCCAAAACCUCUCUCAGUUCGGACUGGAGUCUGCAACCCGACUCCACGAAGCUGGAUUCGCUAGUAAUCGCGCAUCAGCCACGGCGCGGUGAAUACGUUCCCGGGCCUUGUACACACCGCCCGUCAAGCCAUGGGAGCCGGGGGUACCUGAAGUGCGUAACCGCGAGGAGCGCCCUAGGGUAAAACUGGUGACUGGGGCUAAGUCAUAA
This 1446-nucleotide ribosomal RNA is filed under the name uncultured organism. RNAcentral describes it as "SSU rRNA". It matches the Rfam family "Bacterial small subunit ribosomal RNA". The record is from RNAcentral.